This is a small nucleolar RNA of Drosophila melanogaster (fruit fly), 143 nucleotides long. NCBI's taxonomy places the organism in Eukaryota, Metazoa, Arthropoda, Insecta, Diptera, Drosophilidae. The record is from Ensembl.
AGCAACUUCUACCCAUUGGUUGGUCAGAUUUAACCCAUUUUGACACGACUAAGAUUCAUAGUUGCCAGAGAAAGCAAUGCGACUUACCAUGCUGAUGGGUUUUGCAUACCAUCUGCAUAACAAACACUCAAUGUAUCACAUGA